GACUAAAAUAUAGGUAAUUGGUAAGCGAGAUAAGUUGAAACAAAAGUUGGCGAAUUAAGUUAAAUUAUACGAAAUCCAAUGUUACCUUUUUUCAAUAAAAAGCUAUCCAAAAAAUUCAUAUUGUAAAACCAGGAUUAGAUACCCUGCUAUUAUUGAAUGUCGUUAUAUUAUACUAGGGAAUUACGAGCAUUAAUGAGCUUAAAACCUAAAGAGUUUGGCGGUUCCAUUUUGGGCCAGGGGAGCAUGGCCUGUAAGCGAUAUUCCCCGAAAUUUUAACCUUUCUUAACAAGUUUAUAUACCCCCGUUUAUGUUAGCAUUUUGAAAUAAGAAAAGUUAGCAGUAAGUUUUAUUAACUAAAAAAUCAGGUCGAGGUGUAGCUAAUAGAAAGGGAUGAGCUGUGCUACUUUACUAGUUAGUUAAUGGAUGUAAUGUUUGACAAAAGCUACAGAAAAAGUACUUGGUAGUAAAAAUUUCUUAAAAAGAAAUUUUAAAUAAAUUCAAAUGGAGCGUACAAAUCGCCCGUCAAUCCUACCAUUGAGGUAGGAUAA
This 548-nucleotide ribosomal RNA is filed under the name Electra posidoniae. Its description in RNAcentral is "partial 12S ribosomal RNA". The record is from RNAcentral. Lineage: Eukaryota; Metazoa; Bryozoa; Gymnolaemata; Cheilostomatida; Electridae.